AUUGAACGCUGGCGGAAUGCUUUACACAUGCAAGUCGAACGGCAGCACGGACUUCGGUCUGGUGGCGAGUGGCGAACGGGUGAGUAAUGUAUCGGAACGUGCCCAGUCGUGGGGGAUAACGUAGUGAAAAUUACGCUAAUACCGCAUACGAUCUAUGGAUGAAAGCGGGGGAUCGCAAGACCUCGCGCGAUUGGAGCGGCCGAUAUCAGAUUAGGUAGUUGGUGGGGUAAAGGCCCACCAAGCCAACGAUCUGUAGCUGGUCUGAUAGGACAACCAGCCACACUGGAACUGAGACACGGUCCAGACUCCUACGGGAGGCAGCAGUGGGGAAUUGUGGACAAUGGGCGACAGCCUGAUCCAGCCAUUCCGCGUGCAGGAUGAAGGCCCUCGGGUUGUAAACUGCUUUUGUACAGAACGAAAAGGUUUCUACUAAUACUAGGAGCUCAUGACGGUACUGUAAGAAUAAGCACCGGCUAACUACGUGCCAGCCGCCGCAGUAA
Molecule: ribosomal RNA, 500 nt
Filed under: uncultured bacterium
Lineage: Bacteria
Description: partial 16S ribosomal RNA
Rfam family: Bacterial small subunit ribosomal RNA
Source: RNAcentral